RNAcentral lists this ribosomal RNA (922 nucleotides) under uncultured archaeon. Its description in RNAcentral is "bacterial SSU rRNA". It matches the Rfam family "Archaeal small subunit ribosomal RNA", at positions 1 to 906 of the family's 1478-position model. The record is from RNAcentral.
UUCCGGUUGAUCCUGCCGGACCCUACUGCUAUAGGGGUGGGAUUAAGACAUGCAAGUCGAACGUUUCUAGGCUAUGGUAGAGACGUGGCAUACGGCUCAGUAACAUGUGGCUAACCUGCCCUUAGGACAGGGAUACCCCCGGGAAACUGGGGUUAAUCCCUGAUGGGUGAGGAUGCCUGGAAUGGCUCUUCGCUGAAAGGACGCUGAAACCAUGCUUUUCAACGUUGCCUAAGGAUGGGGCCGCACCCGAUCAGGUUGUUGGUGAGGUAAUGGCUCACCAAGCCUUUGACCGGUACGGGCCGUGAGAGCGGGAGCCCGGAGAUGGGCACUGAGAUAAGGGCCCAGGCCCUACGGGGCGCAGCAGUCGCGAAAACUCCGCAAUGCACGAAAGUGUGACGGGGCUACCCCUAGUGCCAUCCGCUGAGGGUGGCUUUUGCUUGGUGUAAUGAGCCAGGAGAAUAAGGAGAGGGCAAGUCUGGUGUCAGCCGCCGCGGUAAUACCAGCUCUCCGAGUUGUAGGGAUGAUUAUUGGGCUUAAAGCGUCCGUAGCCGGCUUAGCAAGUCCUCCGUUAAAUUCAGCAACCUAAUUGUUGAGCUGCGGGGGAUACUACUAGGCUAGGAGGCGGGAGAGGCCGACGGUAUUCUCGGGGUAGGGGUGAAAUCCUAUAAUCCCGGGAGGACCACCAGUGGCGAAGGCUGUCGGCUAAAACGCGCUCGACGGUGAGGGACGAAAGCUGGGGGAGCGAACUGGAUUAGAUACUCGGGUAGUCUCAGCUGUAAACGAUGCGGGCUAGGUGUUGGGGUGGCUACGAGCCACUCCAGUGCCGCAGGAAACCAUUAAGCCCGCUGCCUGGGGAGUACGGCGCAAGGCUGAACUUAAGGAAUUGGCGGGGAGCACACAAGGCGUGAAGCUUGCGUUUAAU